This 302-nucleotide ribosomal RNA is filed under the name Acinetobacter baumannii. RNAcentral describes it as "partial 16S ribosomal RNA". It matches the Rfam family "Bacterial small subunit ribosomal RNA", at positions 1 to 305 of the family's 1533-position model. Lineage: Bacteria; Pseudomonadati; Pseudomonadota; Gammaproteobacteria; Moraxellales; Moraxellaceae. The record is from RNAcentral.
UAACUGAAGAGUUUGAUCAUGGCUCAGAUUGAACGCUGGCGGCAGGCUUAACACAUGCAAGUCGAGCGGGGGAAGGUAGCUUGCUACCGGACCUAGCGGCGGACGGGUGAGUAAUGCUUAGGAAUCUGCCUAUUAGUGGGGGACAACAUCUCGAAAGGGAUGCUAAUACCGCAUACGUCCUACGGGAGAAAGCAGGGGAUCUUCGGACCUUGCGCUAAUAGAUGAGCCUAAGUCGGAUUAGCUAGUUGGUGGGGUAAAGGCCUACCAAGGCGACGAUCUGUAGCGGGUCUGAGAGGAUGAUC